AUGAGUGUUAACCGUUUGAUUCUCCGGCUUUUUGACACGGUCGCAGCUCCAUCUCGCCCAGCCUGGAAGCGAAAGACACUCUGGGACCCCAAGUCGCCACCGAGGAGAGCGAGAGCCCAGGUCCCGGGGCGGACUCAGGGGUCCGGCGGCUCGGAGGCCUGCCCUGAGUCCCCCAAACCCGACCCCCGGCCCCCUCGAAAGGGCCGACAGGUACGCACUCACUUCCGGCGGGCCCCAGAGCUCCGGGAACCCGCGGGGGUAGGAGUGGGGGGGUCGGGGACGGAUCCCUUAGCCGUGCGGGUCGCGCCCCACCCCGGGAGUGCCGCCCGCUUCCCCGAGCUCUGGCCGCCCCCGAAGCGUGGCUGGCGACGCUGCCGGGCCCGAGGUGGGCCUCGCUUCUACUUACUGCUGGGGAGCCAGCCCCGCGUGGCGCGCCUCGCUUUCCCCGCCCCGAGCGCGGCCGCCGCAACCUCCCGCCUUAAAGGGCCGGGGGCCGGGAGCCGGGAGCGGGCCAGGCACCAGCAGCGCGGGCAGGCGGCGGAGGUGGGCGGUGCGCGCGCCCGGAGACACGCGUUUCCGGUCCCUCCUACCGCGGACAGGUGUUCCCAGGGCGCUGCGGGGCGCGGGGUCGCAGGUGUGCCGGUGCGCGCCGGAGGAGGACGCUGGGGGAGAGGAGAUCGGGCCUCCCUCCGCAGGGUCCCCAAGAGACACCUAAUCCCAAUUGCUAACUAAUCAGCCAUCUCCCCUCACCGAAGACUCCGAGGGGCAAGCAUCUCCCUAUUCUUUUAUAGAAACAUAAAUUGCCAGCUAAGUAUGAUUUCUACCCAAAAGAGUGCUAAGCAGAGUUUGCAGAUGUGGCAGGCUCCUCCCUUGAUACUUUUGGGAAGGGCACAUAGACCUUGGCAUACCUUGCUUCAGAAGUAGGCAAUAGCAAACAGCAUGCUCCUUCCGUCUACUUCCCAGAAGGGAAAGUCCUUAUGUAAUGGGAACAGAUGGGUCAAUGGUACCAGGUGGAGAGUUGCCCUGAGGGGCUUUCAUAUUACCACAUCCUGAGAUUUUGGUGGCUAUAUUAGUUUAUGCAUGUAAAGCACUUCACAGUGCAUGUUCGCAGGGAAAUUACUAGUUAAACAUAGCAAUCACAGUAACAUUUAAAGUCAUGUUUUCAUGAGAUGGUUUCAUUUUACACUGGACACUUCAUUUGCUGAAACCAUAGAUUCUAAGUUGCUCUACCAAAGUAAUCACUAGAAAAAUGCGAUGUUGUCAGCAUGUAGAUUUUAGGAGAUUUCUCCGAUUGCUCCUAAAUUUGAUUUAAGGUGAACACUAUUUUCAAACAUACAAUUCGAAACAUCACAAAAUGCACAUAACCAAUGGCAAAUUUGUUUCUGAAAGCACCUGCAGAAAUCUGUGUUCUUCCUAACUUCUAAAACACUCAGAGAGCAAGGAGGGAAAGGGAUUGCUUAGAUGCCAGGUAGUGCAGAAGAUUUAGAUUUGGUUACAGUACAUUUAACGUGAUCCAUUGUAAGGUGAUGAUCUGGACAAACCUGAUCAUAGUGAAGGAACUGGCUUGGUUGGGGGGGGGGGUGUUUUAAUUGAAGGAAUGUUGCUCACCACACCUCUCCCUCCCUCCCCCACAUUUUUAUAUUAAAUAGUGUUUACCAGAGAAGUGAAACCCACUGGGAUUUUAUAUUUGUGUCCAAUAAGAAGUCUGACUACUCUGAGACCACCACACCCUGAGGGAUACCCAACCGGUCCCUGAUGUUCCGGCCUCUGUGGGCCAGGCCCCUGAUGUGUGAGUGAAGAAGCUGCCUGGGCCCUCGGGCCUCGGGAGUCACGACAUACAGAAGGCCGGAGGAGCCCAGCUGACAGCCAGAACCGCUGCUCCAGACGGAUGGCCCCAGGUGAGCCAGCCUGGCCGGCUCCAGUGGCCAGACUCACUCCAGCUGAGGCCGCGGGGGGUGCUGGGGCGGCGCGCGUGCACAGUUCUCACCGUGUCCUGCCUGCUGUCCUCACCCACACACACUUGAGGGCAUUAUAAAAUAGCUGUGGUUUUAAACAAUGCUGUCAGGGAACAGAAACUAGAAGCAGAGGCACAAAAGAGAAUAGAGAAUACCAAAAAAUAAGGAAUGGUUAUAAUCGCUCUUGAAUUGUGAUUGUUGGUCCUCUCAGAUUCAAAUUUUUUCAUUCAUGUAUCCUCUCAUUCCAGAAAAGUGUAUGAAAGGGCUGCAAGCCAGGCAUUAUACUUAGCGCUGGGGAUACAAAACCUGAAUAAAAUAGCUCUGUCCUC
This is a long non-coding RNA of Zalophus californianus (California sea lion), 2284 nucleotides long. Lineage: Eukaryota; Metazoa; Chordata; Mammalia; Carnivora; Otariidae. The record is from Ensembl.